This is a long non-coding RNA of Canis lupus familiaris (dog), 858 nucleotides long. RefSeq lists it as uncharacterized. The record is from RefSeq and is a predicted model, not a curated record. NCBI's taxonomy places the organism in Eukaryota, Metazoa, Chordata, Mammalia, Carnivora, Canidae. The transcript has 8 exons.
CUAAGGGAGAAAAAUGGUACUGAGAGAGUGCCAAAUAACAGAAUUUGUCCUUUACUGUGUGACUAGUAAAGCUAACAAGGUUUUCCCAAAAUCAGCAAGGAAGGAAGAGCCUAAAUCAUAUAGUGCUAGGUUAAAGAUUUUGGCCUCUGUCAUAAGAAGAAUGUGAAAACCUAAAAGGGCUUCAAACAAAGGGUCACCAACAGAAUUGCAUUUUUUUUUUAAUUACUACAACAGCACUGUGGGAAACGGAUUGAUUCAGAGCAAGAGGAAAUGCAGAGAGGCAGGAUGCCAUGCUGAUGAUUCCGUCCCCAAAGGUUGAAGUCUUGUCUGUCAUACCUUGAUGGAUGAAAAGAAAUCCAGGUUUGUUCUAUUCAACUGCCAUUCCACAAACAUUUUUGGAGGGAUAGUACAUGCCAGAGAGUGUUCCUCUAUAGCCGAAGAUAAAGAAAUUAAGGAUAUUGUAUGCUCUGAUGUUAUUCCUGAUGUUAUUCCUUCAUCUAGAAGAUCCUUGCUAACUUAGAUUUACUACCUAAGGCAAACCUCACAAGCAAAGCCCCCACAGGCGGACCCGCUGGGAAACAAGGCUCAGCCUGGGGAGGUAAACAGCGCUCUCCCAUGGCCUGCUGGGCUGUUACUUGAGACAUUCAGUAAAGGAGACACUUCGGGGCUACCAGCAUGAUUUUACUCAUGAAGAGGUGAAAAUCUUCUCAAAGGAGAGCUCAGGAUAAGUUUUCUGAGACUUUGGAUAUCAGAAUUGCAGAUAAGAGGAGAUUGGGGACUUCAAUUAAUAUUAGAAUGAAGAGAGGGGACUCUAGUAUUCAAUUCAGGAACAGAGAAGAAAUAGAAAUAUUCCAGGAC